Long non-coding RNA from Panicum hallii, 1295 nucleotides. RefSeq lists it as uncharacterized. The transcript has 4 exons. The record is from RefSeq and is a predicted model, not a curated record. Lineage: Eukaryota; Viridiplantae; Streptophyta; Magnoliopsida; Poales; Poaceae.
UGAUCCUGAUGUUAUAGGCGGAGGCGGAGGACGUGGGGGCGGCGGCGCGAGCAAGCCAGGCGAGAAGGCCGAAGGGGCGAUUGGGCGAAGACGCGAGGUGGUCAGGGGCGAUUUAGGGAGAGGGGAAACCACGAAAGAUAGGUCACGGGCACGGUCCGGUAGAGAGCGCACGGGCUCGACCAGAUCCGCCGCCACCCCUUCUGCGUGUGGCCAGGCCGUCCGCCGCCGCCGCCCCUUCCGGCCGACACCGCCUCUAGGAGAGGCGCCCGUGGCUCCCAGUGCUCGUCCGACCGUGCUCCUCCAGAUGGAGAAGAGGAGGCCGCCGCGGCCCCUGCGCUCGGUUGGCCUCCGCCUGUCUGCCGCUGCAAGGAAGAGAUAAGGCCACUGGCUGCGACCCUUGCGCUCGUCUGGCGCCUGCCCUCCGCCCGUCCGCCGCCACAAGGAGAGGCGGCUGCUGCCCCCCUGCGCUCGUCCGCCAGCCGCCACACCUCAAGUCCUCAAGCCGAAGCUCUCUUGCCGCUGUGCGUCCACCCUCCUCCGCCUGGAGCUUCAAGUCACUGCGCCACUGGAGAUGGGUGUGUUAAACAUCAGGAUGGACCAGAGGCUACUGCACUGUAGACAUUGCCACCGACGCCGACACCCACCCCUCCCGCCCGCCGACACUCACUGCUUUUUAUUGGACAGAAUCAUCCAUCAGAUGAGGUUCAAAUGCAACUUCUGCGACUCUGGAUACAUCCCCUACAGCAAGUUUCUGGUACACCUGUGCGACACUACUCCCGCCCAUCUCAUGUCCGUCUUUGCUAGGGGAGAGUGCAUCCUCGCCACAAGUGCCCUUGUGUGUUCUGAAUGCGGCCUUCCUCUCCGACCUCCCAUUUUCAGGGCGAGCUCAGCUCUGCCCUGCCCUGACUGAAUGAAUUUGGAUGCAGUUUGGUUUGGUUUUAUUUGAUUUUGGCUUCAUGCUAUCCUGCCGUUGUUGCAGUGUCUCCCUCGGAAAAUUCCUAUUUGUAGUGCCUGCUGCCAUAAUGGUGAUGUCACCAGCUACCGUCACAGUCGUGAGCUCGAACACCUCAUCCAAGGCAUCACGGUGAAAUGCAAGGCUUGCAAACAAUACCUUCCAUUCUCCACCUUUGCUUCGCACAAGCUGGUCAACUUGUGUGAUUCCAUUCUUAUGAAGCUAAGGAAGUAGUCCACUAUCAGAAAUUAUCGCCAAAGAGUUUAGCUAAAUCUGUUCUUGAGGAAGGUGGCUGGUCAAACUUGAUGUGUGCAAAGGAGGAUGCUCAGAAGAAUGUUGAUGU